Long non-coding RNA from Bacillus rossius redtenbacheri, 792 nucleotides. RefSeq lists it as uncharacterized. NCBI's taxonomy places the organism in Eukaryota, Metazoa, Arthropoda, Insecta, Phasmatodea, Bacillidae. The transcript is spliced from 3 exons. The record is from RefSeq and is a predicted model, not a curated record.
CUUCCCCCUCCUUCCUAGGGCUUUAGCGCCUGUUUUAAUUAGAAACCUCGUCCGCCCUCGGUGACUCUGUCCUCUGAUCGCGGCUACUGACCACGUGUGCUCGACGUCCUCUGCGCUAAGAGGCUUAUCGCGGGAACGGCGAAUUUCGGUUGCACUAAAGAUGUAGUCAGUUGCUUAAGGGAUGUGAUCCCAUUUGUACAGUAGCCAGGCAGAAGUAGUGUUUAGAAAAGUCAUGCAUAGUUAAAUUUUCUUUUAGUUAUAUUUUUAAUUCUAAAGAUUCUGGUUUCCUUCGCGCAUCCGCGAAUUUUCGGUGCGCGUCAUCCUGAUGUCGGCGCGAGACACCUCGCGAGCCCGGUUUCCACACCCUGUUUGACAGGGUCGAAGUUACGGAGGAGAGAAAUUGCUCCCCGCAUGAUCUUCGGGACCUCCAGCUGAUCCCCCCCCCCCCCUGCUUAGAAGAGUUUGGCCGGCAGUCCGAGGUCAUUCUGGAAAGACCCGGGUGAUAUGGGGAAACGUGAUCAGAUGGGCUCCCUGCUGAGUCCGCUGCUUGCCGUGACUCGACGUGUGGAAGUCCGCGUGGCUCAUCCACAGUGCUGGCCGCUCACCACGUCCAGUGUUCGGCGAGUUGGCAGAGCAUCGCCGUGUUGCGAGACGAGUGCGAGUGCUCGAGCAGCCGUGGCUGUGCUCUCUGCUCCGGCCGCGAGAGCGACACACGGCGCUUCAGCUGCGACACAGGUCGACUCUGAGGGGCGACUGAAAUGUUGCCCCUUGGAUGGGCAGCCCUUCAGGAUU